AUUUUCUUAGUAUAAUUAGUACUAGUGACUUCCAAUCACUAAACCUCAGUUAAAAUCUGAGAGAAAAUA
This 69-nucleotide transfer RNA is filed under the name Bokermannohyla alvarengai (Santa Barbara treefrog). Its description in RNAcentral is "tRNA-Gly". It matches the Rfam family "tRNA". Rfam says of the family: Transfer RNA (tRNA) molecules are approximately 80 nucleotides in length. Their secondary structure includes four short double-helical elements and three loops (D, anti-codon, and T loops). The record is from RNAcentral. Lineage: Eukaryota; Metazoa; Chordata; Amphibia; Anura; Hylidae.